Molecule: ribosomal RNA, 397 nt
Filed under: uncultured bacterium
Lineage: Bacteria
Description: bacterial SSU rRNA
Rfam family: Bacterial small subunit ribosomal RNA
Source: RNAcentral
AUUGAACGCUGGCGGCAUGCCUUACACAUGCAAGUCGAACGGCAGCACGGGAGCUUGCUCCUGGUGGCGAGUGGCGAACGGGUGAGUAAUGCAUCGGAACGUGCCCUGAAGUGGGGGAUAACGUAGCGAAAGUUACGCUAAUACCGCAUAUUCUGUGAGCAGGAAAGCAGGGGAUCUUCGGACCUUGCGCUUUUGGAGCGGCCGAUGUCGGAUUAGCUAGUUGGUGGGGUAAAGGCCCACCAAGGCGACGAUCCGUAGCGGGUCUGAGAGGAUGAUCCGCCACACUGGAACUGAGACACGGUCCAGACUCCUACGGGAGGCAGCAGUGGGGAAUUUUGGACAACGGGCGCAAGCCUGAUCCAGCCAUGCCGCGUGAGUGAAGAAGGCCUCGGGUUGU